CCUACGGGAGGCAGCAGUGGGGAAUUUUACGCAAUGGGGGAAACCCUGACGUAGCGACACCGCGUGAGCGAAGAAGCCUUUUGGGGUGUAAAGCUCUGUCAGCUGGAAAGAACACAAUGACGGUACCAGCAGAGGAAGCAUCGGCUAACUACGUGCCAGCAGCCGCGGUAAGACGUAGGAUGCAAGCGUUGUCCGGAUUUAUUGGGCGUAAAGAGUUCGUAGGCUGUUUGUUAAGUCUGGUGUUAAAGACCGAGGCCCAACCUCGGAAAUGCAUCGGAUACUGGCAGACUUGAGUACGGUAGAGGCGAGUGGAAUUCCCAGUGUAGCGGUGAAAUGCGUAGAUAUUGGGAAGAACACCGGUGGCGUAGGCGACUCGCUGGGCCGCAACUGACGCUGAGGAACGAAAGCCAGGGGAGCGAAUGGGAUUAGAUACCCUUGUA
This 440-nucleotide ribosomal RNA is filed under the name uncultured bacterium. Its description in RNAcentral is "bacterial SSU rRNA". It matches the Rfam family "Bacterial small subunit ribosomal RNA", at positions 338 to 792 of the family's 1533-position model. The record is from RNAcentral.